GUGCCAGAGCCGCGGUAACACCGGCGGCCCGAGUGGUAACCGCUUUUAUUGGGUCUAAAGGGUCUGUAGCCGGCCAAGUAAGUCCCUUGGGAAAUCUGGCAGCUUAACUGUCAGGCUGCUAGGGGAUACUGCUAGGCUUGGGACCGGGAGAGGUGAGAGGUACCUUGGGGGUAGGGGUGAAAUCUUGUGAUCCUCGGGGGACCACCAGUGGCGAAGGCGUCUCACCAGAACGGGUCCGACGGUAAGGGACGAAAGCUAGGGGCACGAACCGG
Molecule: ribosomal RNA, 272 nt
Filed under: uncultured bacterium
Lineage: Bacteria
Description: partial 16S ribosomal RNA
Rfam family: Archaeal small subunit ribosomal RNA
Source: RNAcentral